This 468-nucleotide ribosomal RNA is filed under the name uncultured bacterium. Its description in RNAcentral is "partial 16S ribosomal RNA". It matches the Rfam family "Bacterial small subunit ribosomal RNA", at positions 28 to 507 of the family's 1533-position model. The record is from RNAcentral.
GAUGAACGCUGGCGGCGUGCUUAAUACAUGCAAGUCGAACGGAAAGGCGCUGAUCUUGCGGCGUGCUCGAGUGGCGAACGCGUGAGUAUCACGUGAGUAACAUCCCCUUGACUUUGGGAUAACUCCUGGAAAAAGGGGCUCAUAUCGGAUAGGAGCUCCUGCAGCAUGGUGGGCAAUGGAAAGUUUCGGCGGUUGGGGCUGGGCUCGCGGUGUAUCAGCUUGAUGGUGGGGUAGUGCCUGACCCAGGCUUUGACGGGAACCCGGCCUGAGAGGGUGAACGGCGGCAUAGGGACUGAGAUGCGGCCCAGACUGCUACGGGAGGGAGCAGUGGGGAAUCCUGCCCAAUGGGCGGAAGCCUGAUGCAGCAACGCCGCGUGCGGGAAGACGGUCUUCGGGUUAUGAACCGCUUUCGCCUGUAACGAAGCCUGAGUGACGGUAAUGGGUAAGGAAGCACCGGCUAACUACGUG